Molecule: long non-coding RNA, 541 nt
Organism: Paramormyrops kingsleyae
Lineage: Eukaryota; Metazoa; Chordata; Actinopteri; Osteoglossiformes; Mormyridae
Source: RefSeq, a predicted model, not a curated record
AUUUUAUUGACUUUGAGUUGAAUGAAAUCCUGUGUUUUACAGCCCCUGCAGUGAUAAUCAUUUUAAACCUGGCCGAGGAGGACAAUCUCCGCAGCAGCGGUAACGUGUGGAAGGCUGACGGCCAAACUGGGGUCCUGGUUUUGCAAGAUGAAUGAUGUGAGUCUCAACGAUGGAUAUAAUGAAGGAUGGUACCAGAGCAGAGUGGGGGACACGUUUCUGAUGGACGCCACGGCACAUGACACAUCUGGCUGAGGUUCAACCAACAUUACUUCUCAUGUCUAUCCAACAAACAACAUUUGUCUUGUGACCCUGGAUACACCAAAGAACAUCUGGUUCUCUGCUCAGUGUGCAGUCUGGUGAAAGAGUCUGGCUCAGCACCUGUUCUGAUAUUGACUCACUUCUGUAUUUGUAUGUGAGAUAUCAGGAUGCUUAGUGAGAUUGCCCAGUCCAUAGAAGUCAUGUAUGUAUUUUAGUAAAAUGUAUUUUCACUGGAAUUAAACUGCUACAAUAAAUGUACACAUGUAGUUCCACACUAAAAACA